This 256-nucleotide ribosomal RNA is filed under the name uncultured Pseudomonas sp. Its description in RNAcentral is "partial 16S ribosomal RNA". It matches the Rfam family "Bacterial small subunit ribosomal RNA", at positions 96 to 354 of the family's 1533-position model. The record is from RNAcentral. Lineage: Bacteria; Pseudomonadati; Pseudomonadota; Gammaproteobacteria; Pseudomonadales; Pseudomonadaceae.
CGGCGGACGGGUGAGUAAUGCCUAGGAAUCUGCCUGGUAGUGGGGGACAACGUUUCGAAAGGAACGCUAAUACCGCAUACGUCCUACGGGAGAAAGCAGGGACCUUCGGGCCUUGCGCUAUCAGGUGAGCCUAGGUCGGAUUAGCUAGUUGGUGAGGUAAUGGCUCACCAAGGCGACGAUCCGUAACUGGUCUGAGAGGAUGAUCAGUCACACUGGAACUGAGACACGGUCCAGACUCCUACGGGAGGCAGCAGGU